AAUAAAGAAAGAAGAACUGGAAGAAAAAAGGUAGAAGAGUUAGGAUGUUGGAGAUUUAAAGGAGAUGAGCUAAGAAAAGUGUGAAGACUGCUUAUUUAGCAAGUGCCUACCCAGAUGCAUCUGCCAGCGAAAGCUAGUGCUGUCUGCAACUAUAUGGUGGUGCAGAUUAGCUUUCUAUAACAAAAGAAGUUUACAAGAUGACUUACAAGCUUCAGCUAAAGCUCAAAGAAGUGGUAUUACUGCUUCUUAGUGCCCUUGACUUUUCCUGUCCUUGUGGUAGCUAUAUAUUUCCAUUGGCUCAACAUGAAAUUGUUCAAGCACGCAUGACUUUAAGAAAGUACAUAGCAGCUGAGGCCUUAGCAAUUUGAAGGUCAUAGAUCUGCAAGUUCUACAACCUUCCCUAGUGUCUUUACCCUUGUAGCAUUUAACCCAUUAUUUUUGCCAAACACAUGCAUGACUACUGUCACAUAACCUUAGUUGCUUGCACUGUUAUGUUCAAGGUGAAAUUCCCACAAUUGGGGGAUUUUGUCAUUGCAAGAAGGGUUGGAGGAUAUGAAAAGGUAUUAUGGUAGUAAGAUUUCUAAGUUCAGAGUUUUGCAUGUGCACUUACAGUCAUAUACAUCUCAACAUUGUGAUUCAGAGAAGUGUUAAUCAUUUUCUUUUUAUCAAGUUUAGACAUUCACUUGCUGCUCCUAUGCUGGAAAUCUUUUAUCACAAUGGCCUAUGUGUGUUGGUCUACAGGUGAUUCUACUAUUCCAGAGAUUUGGCCAAUUCUCUGUCUUUGGAGUAUGUCAGAAUAUGCCCAAUUAUGUGGUUGAUCUAUUGGCUUGUUGAGCAGAAAAUUGAGUAGUGCAAGGGGCUAGUUGCUUGGAGAGCUAAUAUGUCCUUUUGUUUGAUGUUGAGCUUCUAGUUAAAGAGGAAAGCUGAGCAUUUGAAGGCUAGAAGAUUUUGGAAAAGAUCAAAAUGGGAUGCCCUUCUGUUUAAUACGUCUGAUUUUUCUUUUUUUCUUUUAAGGGGUUCCUUUGUAUAGUUCCCUUGUCUUUAGAUGGACCCAUACAAAGGUACCCCUUAAAAUAAAAAAAUAAAAACCAGACAUAUUAAACAGAAGGGCAUCCCAUUUUGAACUUUUCCAAAGACUUCUAGCCUUCAAAUGCUCAGCUUUCCUCUUUAACUAGAAGCUCCACAUUGAACAAAAGUACAUAUUAGCUCUCCAAGCAACUAGCCCCUUGCAACUCAAUUUUUUGCUCAAUAAGUCAUCAAAUCAACCACAUAACUGGGCAUAUUUUGACAUACUCCAAAGAGAGAGAAUUGGCCAAAUCUCUAGAAUAGUAGAAUCACCUGUAGACCAACACACAUAGGCCAUUGUGAUAAAAGAUUUCCAGGGUAGGAGCAACAAGUGAAUGUCUGAACUUGAUAAAAAGAAAAUGAUUAACACUUCUUUGAACCACACUGUUGGGAUGUAUAAGACUGUAAGUGCGCAAAACUCUGACCUUAGAAAACUUUUCAUAUCCUCCAACCCUUCUUGCAAUGACAAAAUCCCCUAGUUGUGGGAAUUUCACCCUGAACAUAACAGUGCAAGCAACUAAGGUAAUGUGACAGUAGUAAUACAUGUGUUUGGCAAAAAUAAUGGGUUAAAUGCUAAAAGGGUAAAGAUACCAGGGAAGGUUGUAGAAUUUGUAGGUCUCCAUGACCUUCAAAUUGCCAAGGCCUCAGCUACUAUGUACUUUGUAAAGGCAAUGAAUGGACAAACAUUAUCUCAGCAUUAGAAUUAAGGCCUUUGGGAAAUGAUAUUUACGUGACUCAAUCUGGAUCAUUGGCACUCUUGGCCCGAUGGGAUACUGGUGCAACAACCAAUCAAACAAUCAGGUACAAAGACGAUGUUUAUGACCGCAUCUGGUGACCAAUUUCCUACUAUCAAUGGACAGAAUUAAAUACCAACCUUGACAUCAAACAAUUCAAUGACUGCCAAAUGCCAUCUUCAGUUAUGACCACUGCUGCAACACCAAUAAUUGCUAACUCUUCCUUGGACAUCUCUGUUACGGCUGACAAUGAUACCACCCAGUGUUAUUUUUACAUGCACUUUGCUGAGGUUGAAAAGCUCCAAGCCAAUCAGUCCAGAGUAAUUAACAUCUCUCUAAAUGGGAAUCAACAGUAUGGACCUUUUUCUCCUGAAUAUCUGUCCACAACCACUAUUUACAGCAAAUUUCUCAACUGGAGACCAACAUAUUUCAAUCUAUAAAACUGAAAGUUCUACUCUUCCACCAAUCCUCAAUGCCUUUGAGGUUUACAAGGUAAUAGAACUCCGACAGUCUGAAACAGGCCAAGAAUAAGGUAUGUUCUUUCUGACGCAUAGUUUUUAGUGUCAGUGUUGUCCAAAUUAUGUUAUGCAAGAUUUUGAUUAUACUACCUUAUACUUCUUAUAUGCACGUGAAACUAGUGACCGCCAUCUUGGACAUCAAGUCAUUGUAUGCUAUAACAAAAAAUUGGCAAGGAGAUCCAUGUGCCCCUAAGGAAUACUUGUGGGAAGGUCUAAACUGUAGCUAUAAUGAUUCUAAUACCCCUAGAAUCAUCUCAUUGUAAGAAUUUUCUUCUCAUAAUUUUGUUGUGUUCUAAUUUAAACCAUACUAUCGUGUAUUAAAUAAUUAAACAUGCAAUCAGGAACCUAUCCUCAAGUGGAUUGACUGGAGAGAUAGUGCCUUACAUAUCAAAUCUCACUAUGAUAAAAAUUUUGUGAAUAUAUAUCUCAAUCUCUUGUAAAUGAUCCACAUGAUGGGGAGACUCAAAAUCUGACCACAAUUUUUAUUUAUUUCUUUCUUUUUAUCACAAUUGAUGAUAUUGUAAAUGAAUUCUCUUUUCAGAGACCUAUCAAACAAUAACUUAACUGGACCAAUUCCAGAUUUUUUGUCUCAAUUGCCAUUCUUAACAGUCUUAAAUUUAGAAAGAAACAACCUCACAGGUUCAGUUUCUGUUGAACUCAUCCAAUGAUCAAACAAUGGUUCACUAUUAUUAAGGUAUGCAUUUUGUAGGAAAAAAAUCAUGAAUUCCCUAGUAUAAUUAUCUCUUUUUCUUCUUCUUAUUUUUUUCACACAAUAAUUUUUUUUUUUAAUAUCAUCACAGGAGGUAAAUCAUUAGAAGCGAUUAAGAUCCUCUAGAGUUCUUAGGAUAACUCUACCAUUGAAUUUUGAAGAUCCUAUCCAUUCAUUCUUAGGGUAAAUCAUUAUAAGUGAUUAGAUUUUAUCAUGUCAUCAAUAUUUAAAAAAAUGUUGACCUUCAUCAUUGUGGUAUUCAUUUAAAUUAUUGAUGAUGCAACACAAUUCAAUCUACUUAUUCCAAAAUGAAUGGGUAAGAUUUUUUGAACUCUUUGGUGGAGCUACCCUAUGAACUCUACAGGAUCAUAAUCCCAUUAAAAGUUACAAUGCAACUUUUGUGCAAUAGAUUAUAUUGUUGUACUUAAUAAGUUGUAGUCUUAUUUUUUUUGCCAUGAACUCUUAUUGAUGCAAUGGUGCUAGUGUUGGUGAAAAUCCAAAUUUAUGUACAUCACUUUCAUGUGAAAAGAAGAACAAUAUUAUUAUUCCGGUGGUGGCAUCUGCAGUUGGUGGGUUGUUCAUCCUCUUAUUAAUUGCAGCAGCUAUCAUUUUGAUCAUCAAAAGGAGAAAACAACAAGGUGAGAGUACAACCAUAAUACUUUUGAUUAAAAUGGUAUAAGUUGAUUAUACAACACCCAAAUUGAUAAAAACAAAGAAACUAUUCCCCAAAGAUUACGUGCUUAUUAAAACCAGGAUUAUCUUAGGGCUUGUGACAAAUAGUUUUGAAGUUAACAAUAGAAGUGAACAAUUGGAGUAAAAAAAACACUAGUUUACAUAUGCUGAUAUCCUGAGGAUUACCAACAACUUUGAGAGGGUACUUGGUAAAGGUGGAUUUGGAAUAGUUUAUCAUGGCUACCUUGAUGGCACCCAAGUCCCUGUUAAGAUGCUCUCUCCAUCAUCAGUUCAAGGAUAUAAAGAAUUUCAUACAGAGGUAUGUGGUCGCAACACAUACAAAACUUUUAAACUAUUCAUAUGUAUUUAGCUAACAUGCGACUUCAAAUUACAGGCUAAUCUUCUUAUGACCUCAUCCUCCACAUAGCACUUGUAGGGGGGAAGUGCCAGAUGAGCUAAAGCUUGUUGGCUUUUGCGUUUGUUUUCUCUUGGCCAAUUAUGAACUUCAAUAACUCACGUAAGGCCCAUGACUUGAGGGUGUGUUUGAUAUCUAAGCUCUGAUGGCUGAUGCCUAAUUGUCUUAUUGCACAAUAUGUUGUCACUAUGAUCUAUUUGACAUGACCAUUAGGUAAAUCUUUUUCAAAAGAUGAAUAAUGCAUAUAGUUCCAAAGAAAGGAGGGUGGAAGCAUAUUAUGACAUGGAAAACAGAAGCAUGAAAAGAAAACAUCAACAUGAAUAAAGAGAAUGGGUGUAGAACCGAAAAUGGGGUAAGAAUACCUCAAAAGCUUUUCCAAGAGGCCGCUUAGAGUUGUGUAGAGCAGAAACCAAAUAGGCAGUAGUUCGUGUAAAAUUCUUGACAAAAAUUAUUACACAGAUUCUAUAAACACAUUCUGGCAGAGAUUUAAGUGUUUCUGUACCACUCUUUAAAAAAAAAAGCAUUUCUGCACAAAUCGCUGCAAUUACAAACUAAACUGAAGUCAAACUGCUUCCUUCAAAAUGCUAGCAAUAAUUAUGCCUGUGAAUUGGUAAAUCCAGUGUGUCAAAAGCAGUCAAAUUUGAUGGUGAGUUUCCUAUACCAAGUGCAUUUGGUUUAAUUGAGGGGUUUUUUUUUUUUUUUUU
Long non-coding RNA from Quercus lobata, 4817 nucleotides. RefSeq lists it as uncharacterized. Lineage: Eukaryota; Viridiplantae; Streptophyta; Magnoliopsida; Fagales; Fagaceae. The transcript is spliced from 5 exons. The record is from RefSeq and is a predicted model, not a curated record.